RNAcentral lists this ribosomal RNA (254 nucleotides) under uncultured bacterium. RNAcentral describes it as "partial 16S ribosomal RNA". It matches the Rfam family "Bacterial small subunit ribosomal RNA", at positions 524 to 776 of the family's 1533-position model. The record is from RNAcentral.
UACGGAGGGGGCUAGCGUUGUUCGGAAAUACUGGGCGUAAAGCGUACGUAGGCGGCUUGGCAAGUCAGGGGUGAAAUCCCGGAGCUCAACUCCGGAACUGCCCUUGAAACUGCCUGGCUAGAAUCUUGGAGAGGUCAGUGGAAUUCCGAGUGUAGAGGUGAAAUUCGUAGAUAUUCGGAAGAACACCAGUGGCGAAGGCGACUGACUGGACAAGUAUUGACGCUGAGGUACGGAAAGCGUGGGGAGCAAACAGG